GAUGAACGCUGGCGGCGUGCUUAACACAUGCAAGUCGAACGGAAAGGCUCCUGCUUGCAGGGGUACUCGAGUGGCGAACGGGUGAGUAACACGUGGGUGAUCUGCCCUGCACUUCGGGAUAAGCCUGGGAAACUGGGUCUAAUACCGGAUAGGACGAUGGGUUGGAUGCCAUUGUGGAAAGUUUUUCGGUGUGGGAUGAGCUCGCGGCCUAUCAGCUUGUUGGUGGGGUAAUGGCCUACCAAGGCGUCGACGGGUAGCCGGCCUGAGAGGGUGUACGGCCACAUUGGGACUGAGAUACGGCCCAGACUCCUACGGGAGGCAGCAGUGGGGAAUAUUGCACAAUGGGCGCAAGCCUGAUGCAGCGACGCCGCGUGGGGGAUGACGGCCUUCGGGUUGUAAACUCCUUUCGCUAGGGACGAAGCGCAAGUGACGGUACCUGGAGAAGAAGCACCGGCUAACUACGUG
RNAcentral lists this ribosomal RNA (465 nucleotides) under uncultured bacterium. RNAcentral's name for it is "partial 16S ribosomal RNA". It matches the Rfam family "Bacterial small subunit ribosomal RNA", at positions 28 to 507 of the family's 1533-position model. The record is from RNAcentral.